RNAcentral lists this ribosomal RNA (447 nucleotides) under uncultured bacterium. RNAcentral describes it as "SSU rRNA". It matches the Rfam family "Bacterial small subunit ribosomal RNA", at positions 26 to 518 of the family's 1533-position model. The record is from RNAcentral.
AGAACGAACGCUGGCGGCAUGCCUCAUACAUGCAAGUCGAACGAAGGCUUCGGCCUUAGUGGCGCACGGGUGAGUAGCGCGUGGGAACCUACCCUUUUGUGGGGGAUAACCGAGGGAAACUUCGGCUAAUACCGCAUACGCCGGGUAACCGGGAAAGAUUUAUCGCAGAAGGAUGGGCCCGCGUCGGAUUAGCUAGUUGGUGGGGUAACGGCCUACCAAGGCUAUGAUCCGUAGCUGGUCUGAGAGGAUGAUCAGCCACACUGGGACUGAGACACGGCCCAGACUCCUACGGGAGGCAGCAGUAGGGAAUAUUGGACAAUGGGCGAAAGCCUGAUCCAGCAAUGCCGCGUGAGUGAGGAAGGCCUUAGGGUUGUAAAGCCCUUUCGGCGGGGAAGAUAAUGACGGUACCCGCAGAAGAAGCCCGGCUAACUUCGUGCCAGCAGCCGC